This 351-nucleotide ribosomal RNA is filed under the name uncultured bacterium. Its description in RNAcentral is "bacterial SSU rRNA". It matches the Rfam family "Bacterial small subunit ribosomal RNA", at positions 8 to 353 of the family's 1533-position model. The record is from RNAcentral.
AGAGUUUGAUCAUGGCUCAGGACGAACGCUGGCGGCGCGCCUAACACAUGCAAGUCGAACGAGAGAGAAGGAGCUUGCUUCUUCGAUCGAGUGGCGAACGGGUGAGUAACGCGUGAGGAACCUGCCUCAAANAGGGGGACAACAGUUGGAAACGACUGCUAAUACCGCAUAAGCCCACGGGUCGGCAUCGACCGGAGGGAAAAGGAGCAAUCCGCUUUGAGAUGGCCUCGCGUCCGAUUAGCUAGUUGGUGAGGUAAUGGCCCACCAAGGCGACGAUCGGUAGCCGGACUGAGAGGUUGAACGGCCACCAUUGGGACUGAGACACGGCCCAGACUCCUACGGGAGGCAGCA